CUUUUCCUGCUGUUGAGUUUGUCCAUCAGAUACAAGGACAGGACGAAACAACGAGGUUAGUAUAAUACCAGCUGAACAGCCUUGUAGGACGUAUUUUAUACAUCCUGAAGAACUGAAGGUACUUAACUGUUACCAAUUAAAAUGAAGUUUUCGUUUGUGCUAUGUCUUUGCAUCGUUCUGUUCGCCGGCCUAUUGGCCAUAAAGG
Molecule: long non-coding RNA, 205 nt
Organism: Limulus polyphemus (Atlantic horseshoe crab)
Lineage: Eukaryota; Metazoa; Arthropoda; Merostomata; Xiphosura; Limulidae
Exons: 2
Source: RefSeq, a predicted model, not a curated record